Molecule: ribosomal RNA, 253 nt
Filed under: uncultured bacterium
Lineage: Bacteria
Description: partial 16S ribosomal RNA
Rfam family: Bacterial small subunit ribosomal RNA
Source: RNAcentral
UACAGAGGGUGCAAGCGUUGUUCGGAAUUAUUGGGCGUAAAGGGCGCGCAGGCGGCGACAUUUGUCAGGCGUGAAAGCCCCGGGCUUAACCUGGGAACUGCGCUUGAUACGGUGUGGCUAGAGUUCGGGAGAGGAGAGUGGAAUUCCCAGUGUAGAGGUGAAAUGCGCAGAUAUCGGGAAGAACACCCGUGGCGAAGGCGGCACUCUGGGACGGUACUGACGCUGAGACGCGAAAGCGUGGGGAGCGAACAGG